CCCCUAGACGUUCUGGGCUGCACGCGCGCUACAAUAAUACGCACAGCGAGUAUCACCGAGCUCGAAAGGGCAAGGUAAACAAUAGAAAAGGUACUGUAAUGGUUAUAGAUCCUUGUAAUUAUUGAUCUUCAACGAGGAAUUCCUAGUAAGUAUGUGUCAUCAUCACGCACUGAUUACGCCCCUGCCCUUUGUACACACCGCCCGUCGCUCCUACCGAUUGGGUGAGCCGAUGAAACUCUCGGAUGUAGGCUAUUCAUAGCCCGCAGAAGAGAUUUGAAUCGUAGCGCUUAGAGGAAGGAGAAGUCGUAACA
RNAcentral lists this ribosomal RNA (311 nucleotides) under uncultured eukaryote. RNAcentral describes it as "partial 18S ribosomal RNA". It matches the Rfam family "Eukaryotic small subunit ribosomal RNA", at positions 1470 to 1796 of the family's 1831-position model. The record is from RNAcentral.